GUCCACGCCUUAAACGAUGAAUACUCGAUGUCAGCCCGCAAGGGUUGGUGUCCAAGCUAACGCAUUAAGUAUUCCACCUGGGAAGUACGAUCGCAAGGUUGAAACUCAAAGGAAUUGACGGGGGCCCCGCACAAGCAGUGGAGCAUGUGGUUUAAUUCGAUGCAACGCGAAGAACCUUACCUAGGUUUGAAAAGCUCUGUAAACCGAUGAAAGUCGGGUAGUGUAGCAAUACACGCGGAGUACAGGUGCUGCAUGGCUGUCGU
This 263-nucleotide ribosomal RNA is filed under the name uncultured bacterium. RNAcentral describes it as "partial 16S ribosomal RNA". It matches the Rfam family "Bacterial small subunit ribosomal RNA", at positions 793 to 1055 of the family's 1533-position model. The record is from RNAcentral.